AUUGAACGCUGGCGGCGUGCCUAACACAUGCAAGUCGAGCGGUAACAGGUGUAGCAAUACAUGCUGACGAGCGGCGGACGGGUGAGUAACGCUUGGGAAUCUGCCUAUUAGUGGGGGACAACCCGGGGAAACUCGGGCUAAUACCGCAUACGCUCUACGGAGGAAAGCCGGGGACCGCAAGGCCUGGCGCUAAUAGAUGAGCCCAAGUCGGAUUAGCUAGUUGGUAGGUAAUGGCCUACCAAGGCGACGAUCCGUAACUGGUCUGAGAGGACGACCAGUCACACCGGAACUGAGACACGGUCCGGACUCCUACGGGAGGCAGCAGUGGGGAAUAUUGGACAAUGGGCGAAAGCCUGAUCCAGCGACGCCGCGUGGGUGAAGAAGGCCUGCGGGUU
Molecule: ribosomal RNA, 395 nt
Filed under: uncultured bacterium
Lineage: Bacteria
Description: bacterial SSU rRNA
Rfam family: Bacterial small subunit ribosomal RNA
Source: RNAcentral